Molecule: long non-coding RNA, 314 nt
Organism: Poeciliopsis prolifica (blackstripe livebearer)
Lineage: Eukaryota; Metazoa; Chordata; Actinopteri; Cyprinodontiformes; Poeciliidae
Exons: 3
Source: RefSeq, a predicted model, not a curated record
AUAGAUGGAGGAGAAUGAUCCGGACUGUGCAGCUAAAAACAAUGAAUGAGACGUGGAGGAGGUGACCAAUCCUCGGCAUUAAGUUGGCAACAUGUUGAAGAUUGAAGGCUCACAGUCCAGCAGAGCAUACAGAUCCUUUACCUCGGUCACCUGCGGCUCCAGCUUCCUCAAGUGCUGCCCGACGAUACUGUGGUAGCUCUUCACAUAUGUGCUGAAGACUUUGAAGCUGGGUGAACGCCGUUGACCUUCACCUGCACGCCCUGGGACACCGCCUCCUUCCAGGCCUCCAUCCAGCUGUCUGAUAAGCCGCCUGG